This 497-nucleotide ribosomal RNA is filed under the name uncultured bacterium. Its description in RNAcentral is "partial 16S ribosomal RNA". It matches the Rfam family "Bacterial small subunit ribosomal RNA", at positions 28 to 507 of the family's 1533-position model. The record is from RNAcentral.
GAUGAACGCUGGCGGCGUGCCUAAUACAUGCAAGUCGAGCGAACAGACGAGGAGCUUGCUCCUCUGACGUUAGCGGCGGACGGGUGAGUAACACGUGGAUAACCUACCUAUAAGACUGGGAUAACUUCGGGAAACCGGAGCUAAUACCGGAUAAUAUAUUGAACCGCAUGGUUCAAUAGUGAAAGACGGUUUUGCUGUCACUUAUAGAUGGAUCCGCGCCGCAUUAGCUAGUUGGUAAGGUAACGGCUUACCAAGGCAACGAUGCGUAGCCGACCUGAGAGGGUGAUCGGCCACACUGGAACUGAGACACGGUCCAGACUCCUACGGGAGGCAGCAGUAGGGAAUCUUCCGCAAUGGGCGAAAGCCUGACGGAGCAACGCCGCGUGAGUGAUGAAGGUGUUCGGAUCGUAAAACGCUGUUAGUAGGGAAGAACAAAUGUGUAAGUAACUAUGCACGUCUUGACGGUACCUAAUCAGAAAGCCACGGCUAACUACGUG